This 254-nucleotide ribosomal RNA is filed under the name uncultured bacterium. RNAcentral describes it as "partial 16S ribosomal RNA". It matches the Rfam family "Bacterial small subunit ribosomal RNA", at positions 524 to 776 of the family's 1533-position model. The record is from RNAcentral.
CACGUAGGGCGCAAGCGUUGUCCGGAAUUAUUGGGCGUAAAGAGCUCGUAGGCGGUCUGUUGCGUCCGCUGUGAAAACUCGGGGCUUAACCCCGAGCCUGCAGUGGAUACGGGCAGACUAGAGGUAGGUAGGGGGAGAAUGGAAUUCCCGGUGUAGCGGUGAAAUGCGCAGAUAUCAGGAGGAACACCGGUGGCGAAGGCGGGUCUCUGGGCCGAUACUGACGCUGAGGAGCGAAAGCGUGGGGAGCGAACAGG